RNAcentral lists this transfer RNA (64 nucleotides) under Proasellus escolai. RNAcentral's name for it is "transfert RNA-H(CAC)". The record is from RNAcentral. Lineage: Eukaryota; Metazoa; Arthropoda; Malacostraca; Isopoda; Asellidae.
GUCUUAAUAGUUUAUAAAAAAAAUACCAACAUGUGGGGUUGGAGAAGAUCCAUUUUUUAAGACA